AGAAACUUAGGUUAACCAGACCAAGAGCCUUCAAAGCCCUAAGCAGGAGUUAAAAUCUUCUAGUUUCUG
RNAcentral lists this transfer RNA (69 nucleotides) under Bokermannohyla alvarengai (Santa Barbara treefrog). RNAcentral's name for it is "tRNA-Trp". It matches the Rfam family "tRNA". Rfam says of the family: Transfer RNA (tRNA) molecules are approximately 80 nucleotides in length. The record is from RNAcentral. Lineage: Eukaryota; Metazoa; Chordata; Amphibia; Anura; Hylidae.